AGAGUUUGAUCCUGGCUCAGAUUGAACGCUGGCGGCAUGCCUAACACAUGCAAGUCGAACGUGAAAGCCCUUCGGGGUGAGUAGAGUGGCGGACGGGUGAGUAACGCGUGGGAAUCUACCUUGUAGUGGGGGACAACCCGAGGAAACUCGGGCUAAUACCGCAUACGUCUUACGAGAGAAAGGGGGCCUUUUGGGGCUCUUGCUACAGGAUGAGCCCGCGUCCGAUUAGCUAGUUGGUGAGGUAAAGGCUCACCAAGGCGACGAUCGGUAACUGGUCUGAGAGGAUGGCCAGUCACACUGGGACUGAGACACGGCCCAGACUCCUACGGGAGGCAGCAGUGGGGAAUAUUGGACAAUGGGCGCAAGCCUGAUCCANCAAUGCCGCGUGUGUGAAGAAGGCCUGCGGGUUGUAAAGCACUUUCAGUGGGGAAGAAAGGUUUGAGGUUAAUACCCUUGGAUUUUGACGUUACCCACAGAAGAAGCACCGGCUAACUCCGUGCCAGCAGCCGCGGUAAUACGGAGGGUGCGAGCGUUAAUCGGAAUCACUGGGCGUAAAGCGCGCGUAGGCGGCAGAGUCAGUCAGAUGUGAAAGCCCCGGGCUCAACCUGGGAAUGGCAUUUGAAACUGCUCAGCUAGAGUAUGGUAGAGGGAAGUGGAAUUCCAGGUGUAGCGGUGAAAUGCGUAGAUAUCUGGAGGAACACCGGUGGCGAAGGCGGCUUCCUGGACCAAUACUGACGCUGAAGUGCGAAAGCGUGGGGAGCAAACAGGAU
RNAcentral lists this ribosomal RNA (770 nucleotides) under uncultured sediment bacterium. RNAcentral's name for it is "bacterial SSU rRNA". It matches the Rfam family "Bacterial small subunit ribosomal RNA", at positions 8 to 778 of the family's 1533-position model. The record is from RNAcentral.